This 263-nucleotide ribosomal RNA is filed under the name uncultured bacterium. Its description in RNAcentral is "partial 16S ribosomal RNA". It matches the Rfam family "Bacterial small subunit ribosomal RNA", at positions 793 to 1055 of the family's 1533-position model. The record is from RNAcentral.
GUCCUAGCCCUAAACCAUCAGGACUUGGGGUGGCUCGCGUAGGCGGGUCGUCCCGAAGCUAACGCGUUAAGUCCUGCGCCUGGGGAGUACGGUCGCAAGACUGAAACUCAAAGGAAUUGACGGGGCCCGCACAAGCGGUGGAACAUGUGGUUCAAUUCGACGCAACGCGAAGAACCUUACCUGGGCUUGAACCGCUGGCGACCAACGGUAGAAAUAUCGUCUUUUCGCAAGAAACGCCAGUAGAGGUGCUGCAUGGCUGUCGU